RNAcentral lists this ribosomal RNA (497 nucleotides) under uncultured bacterium. Its description in RNAcentral is "partial 16S ribosomal RNA". It matches the Rfam family "Bacterial small subunit ribosomal RNA", at positions 28 to 507 of the family's 1533-position model. The record is from RNAcentral.
GAUGAACGCUGGCGGCGUGCCUAAUACAUGCCAGUCGAGCGAACAGACGAGGAGCUUGCUCCUUUGACGUUAGCAGCGGACGGGUGAGUAACACGUGGGUAACCUACCUAUAAGACUGGGAUAACUUCGGGAAACCGGAGCUAAUACCGGAUAAUAUUUCGAACCGCAUGGUUCGAUAGUGAAAGAUGGCUCUGCUAUCACUUAUAGAUGGACCUGCGCCGUAUUAGCUAAUUGGUAAGGUAACGGCUUACCAAGGCAACGAUACGUAGCCGACCUGAGAGGGUGAUCGGCCACACUGGAACUGAGACACGGUCCAGACUCCUACGGGAGGCAGCAGUAGGGAAUCUUCCGCAAUGGGCGAAAGCCUGACGGAGCAACGCCGCGUGAGUGAUGAAGGUCUUCGGAUCGUAAAACUCUGUUAUUAGGGAAGAACAAACGUGUAAGUAACUGUGCACGUCUUGACGGUACCUAAUCAGAAAGCCACGGCUAACUACGUG